GUGCACAUUUUCAAAUUUGUCCCACACAGGAAUGCCAACUGAAUCAUUUGAAAAGUCUCCAAAAAGGGGAGGGGUAGUGACGGCACUUGUGUAUGUUUUAGUGUAUGUUCUGUUCCUUGUAUCCCACUGCUGUGGCAGUGGGUAGUUAGUCUGCCAUGGGAGCUCAUUAAGAAGAGACUCAUAAUUUCUCUCUUAUAUUCCCAAAAUUAGAUAAAAGUUGUGGAGUGCCACAGUCUGAAGUCCUCCCGCCGGAAGCCACCGCGGUGACUGCAAGAAUUCCUCAUCGGAGAGCGAAGAACGACGCUGAACCUCCUUCAAGCUCCUUAUCCUGGGAGCUGGCGCCCGAUACAAAUUGAAGGAGCUGAGCACCACCGUUUCGGAGGGAUCUACGAGGACCUUGUCAGUCAGGGAGACUCACGUUUGGUGCCUGACAACCUCCGGGAAAGUUUCAUCCCGUUGAGUCGGAAGCUCUGUGCCCGUUGAGCGUUCCACAUCCCAAAGGUGCGAUUUAUCACCGUUUGGCUGGACAGGAAGCACCAGCACUAGCACACCGAAGCACCUCACGACCUGGGAAGCUCAAUCCCAGUGCUCAUUCCCGUCGGGACGUUAAACUCCCGUACGUGCGCUUCAUUUGGGCAAGUCCCACGCCCAGUGUAUAUCAUCGCCGGGACGCCAAAUUCCCGCGCGUGUCAGAGAAGCUCAAACUCUGCACACUAAUCUCCGGGGCGACACAAAACCCCCGUCGAGAAGGCGCCCGUCGAGAAGAAGCACCACGAGAAGAACCUGGGAGACGCUCGUCACCGUCUGAAGAAGAUACGAGGGAUUUGAAUCAUCCUGUGCACCACCAGAGACGUACAGCCGCAACGGAGAGCAUCAGCGAUCAACCCGUCUGCGAGAAAACCCCAAGAGGCCCGUGUAGUUGCAGAGAAGAAGAAUAAACGUGUAAAUUAGAGGGAAGACCACAUCUUCUUAUUUUCCUGGCGACUCAGUAUUGUUUUAUUGGCGCCCAACCCGUGGCGAACCAGAUAAAAGUUGUGGAGUGCCACAGUCUGAAGUCCUCCCGCCGGAAGCCACCGCGGUGACUGCAAGAAUUCCUCAUCGGAGAGCGAAGAACGACGCUGAACCUCCUUCAAGCUCCUUAUCCUGGGAGCUGGCGCCCGAUACAAAUUGAAGGAGCUGAGCACCACCGUUUCGGAGGGAUCUACGAGGACCUUGUCAGUCAGGGAGACUCACGUUUGGUGCCUGACAACCUCCGGGAAAGUUUCAUCCCGUUGAGUCGGAAGCUCUGUGCCCGUUGAGCGUUCCACAUCCCAAAGGUGCGAUUUAUCACCGUUUGGCUGGACAGGAAGCACCAGCACUAGCACACCGAAGCACCUCACGACCUGGGAAGCUCAAUCCCAGUGCUCAUUCCCGUCGGGACGUUAAACUCCCGUACGUGCGCUUCAUUUGGGCAAGUCCCACGCCCAGUGUAUAUCAUCGCCGGGACGCCAAAUUCCCGCGCGUGUCAGAGAAGCUCAAACUCUGCACACUAAUCUCCGGGGCGACACAAAACCCCCGUCGAGAAGGCGCCCGUCGAGAAGAAGCACCACGAGAAGAACCUGGGAGACGCUCGUCACCGUCUGAAGAAGAUACGAGGGAUUUGAAUCAUCCUGUGCACCACCAGAGACGUACAGCCGCAACGGAGAGCAUCAGCGAUCAACCCGUCUGCGAGAAAACCCCAAGAGGCCCGUGUAGUUGCAGAGAAGAAGAAUAAACGUGUAAAUUAGAGGGAA
Long non-coding RNA from Lutzomyia longipalpis, 1772 nucleotides. RefSeq lists it as uncharacterized. Lineage: Eukaryota; Metazoa; Arthropoda; Insecta; Diptera; Psychodidae. The record is from RefSeq and is a predicted model, not a curated record. The transcript is spliced from 2 exons.